UGGGGUUAAAUUAAUAAAAUAAUAUAAUAAUAAAAAAAUUUAUAAUUAAAUAUUUAAUGGGGGUUAAAGUAUUUAUUUAGAAAAAAUUUUUAUAUUUAUAGUGAAUUAGUAUUGUGAAAGAAUUUUGAAAAAUUUUGAAAAUAAAUUAAUUAAAAAGUAAAUUUAAUUUAUUAUAUCUUGUGUAUCAGAGUUUAUUUAAUAAGUAUUUUUAAAUAAAAAUAUCUCGAAUUUAAAAGAGAUAAUUAGUUAAUAAAGUUAAUGUUGAAUAAUUAUUUUUAAUAAUUAAUUUGAAAUGAAAUGUUAAUCGUUUUUAAAUAUAUCUAGUUUUUUUAGAAAAAAAUUUAAUUUUAAAUUAAAUUUUUUUUUAUUAAUUAAUUUCAAAAUUAAUAAUAAAUUUAAUUAAAUAUUUUAAGGGAUAAGCUUUAAAUUAAAAUUUUAUAAUAAUAAUUUAAACUUAAAAUAAAAUUUUUAAAAUUUAUAUUUUUUAUAAAUUAUAAUUUUUUAUAAAUAAUUUUAUUUUAAUUAAAAUUUAAUAUAUAAUUUAUUUAAAUUUUUAUAAAAAAAAUGAUUUUUAAUAAUAAAAAUUUAGUAAUAAUGAUAAAAUUAGUAUAUUUAUAAAAAAUAAAAUAAAAGGAAUUUAAUUUAAGAAAAAGGAAUUCGGCAAAUAUUUAUAUUCACUUGUUUAUCAAAAACAUGUCUUUUUGAAAAUAAUAUAAAGUCUAAUCUGCCCACUGAAGUAAAUUUAAAGGGCUGCAGUAUAUUGACUGUACAAAGGUAGCAUAAUCAAUAGUCUUUUAAUUGAAGACUGGUAUGAAUGAUUUGAUGAAAUAUAAACUGUCUCUUUUUUAAAAGUAGAAUUUAAUUUUUUAGUUAAAAAGCUAAAAUAAUUAUAAAAGACGAGAAGACCCUAUAGAGUUUAAUAAUUUUAUAUUUUUAAAUAAUUUAUAAAUUUUAUAAUUUAUAUAUAUAAAAUUAUUUUGUUGGGGUGAUAUAAAAAUUAAAAUAACUUUUUUUAAAAAUUAACAUUAAUAUAUGAAUAUAUGAUCCAUAAUUUAUGAUUAAAAGAAUAAAUUACCUUAGGGAUAACAGCGUAAUUUUUUUUUUUAGUUCUUAUAAAAAAAAGAGUUUGCGACCUCGAUGUUGGAUUAAGAUAAAAUUUAAAUGCAAAAGUUUAAAAUUUUUGAUCUGUUCGAUCAUUAAAAUCUUACAUGAUCUGAGUUCAAACCGGUGUAAGCCAGGUUGGUUUCUAUCUUUAUAGAAGAAAAAUAAUUUAGUACGAAAGGAUCAGUUAUUUUAAAUAAUUUAAUUAUUAAGAAUAUUAGUAAAAUUAUUAU
RNAcentral lists this ribosomal RNA (1334 nucleotides) under Gonepteryx mahaguru. RNAcentral describes it as "large subunit ribosomal RNA". The stretch from base 1082 to 1241 matches the Rfam family "Eukaryotic large subunit ribosomal RNA", at positions 2825 to 2984 of the family's 3401-position model. Lineage: Eukaryota; Metazoa; Arthropoda; Insecta; Lepidoptera; Pieridae. The record is from RNAcentral.